Molecule: transfer RNA, 66 nt
Filed under: Acropora cervicornis
Lineage: Eukaryota; Metazoa; Cnidaria; Anthozoa; Scleractinia; Acroporidae
Description: tRNA-Ser
Rfam family: tRNA
About the family: Transfer RNA (tRNA) molecules are approximately 80 nucleotides in length. Their secondary structure includes four short double-helical elements and three loops (D, anti-codon, and T loops).
Source: RNAcentral
GGUCUUCAUAGCUCAGUUGGUGGAGCACUGCAACGCUAACCAUGGGUUCGAAUCCCGUCGAAGCCC